UUUGGCUUUUAUUUUCUGUGUUAGAUAAAUUAUUUGAAAAACCGAGCUCGAAAGCACAAUAUCCACUUGAAAACUUUACCCAUUGGAUUUACAAAAAGGAGAGAGAAUUCAACCACCUUCAACAAGAAGGAGCAAAGGUUCUACUGGCAUUUGAAGCUCAUAUUUCCUCACAGUCAUGCUGAAUACACAGUAAAAAGGGUGCCCGAUGAUAAAACACUAGGUGAAAUCCUUAAACCUUACCUUGAUCCUGAAGAAUCAGAUCCUGUUAUUCGUCAAAGAUUAAAAAUAUAUACAAUGUCUCCUCAGUCAGAUGUGCAAAUUUUAAUGAAAAUAGAAAACAGGCAACAUAAUUCUGUCAGGUAAGGGAUAUAUUUUUUCUGUAUGUAGGCUGUUUGUUUAUUUUU
Molecule: non-coding RNA, 404 nt
Organism: Chrysemys picta bellii (western painted turtle)
Lineage: Eukaryota; Metazoa; Chordata; Testudines; Emydidae
Source: RefSeq, a predicted model, not a curated record